Molecule: ribosomal RNA, 476 nt
Filed under: uncultured eukaryote
Lineage: Eukaryota
Description: SSU rRNA
Rfam family: Eukaryotic small subunit ribosomal RNA
Source: RNAcentral
AGCUCGUAGUUGGAUUUCUGUUGAGGACGGCCGGUCCGCACUAUGUGCGUCCUUCUGGGUCGGCCUUGGCAUCCUCUUGAGGAACUUUCCUGCGCUUGAUUGCGUGGGGCGGUAUUCAAGACUUUUACUUUGAGGAAAUUAGAGUGUUCACGGCAGGCAAGCGCCUUGAAUACAUUAGCAUGGAAUAAUAAUAUAGGAUCUUGGUUCUAUUUGUUGGUUUCUAGGGCUAAGGUAAUGAUUAAUAGGGAUAAUUGGGGGCAUUUGUAUUAACGCGUCAGAGGUGGAAUUCUUGGAUUGCGUUACUACAAACUACUGCGAAAGCAUUUGCCAAGGAUGUUUUCAUUGAUCAAGAACGAAAGUAUGGGGAUCGAAGAUGAUUAGAUACCGUCGUAGCCUAUACCAUAAACUAUGCCGACUAGGGAUUGGAGGUCGUACUUUUUAUGACUCCUUCAGCACCCUAUGAGAAAUCAAAGUCU